RNAcentral lists this long non-coding RNA (483 nucleotides) under Helianthus annuus (common sunflower). The record is from RNAcentral. Lineage: Eukaryota; Viridiplantae; Streptophyta; Magnoliopsida; Asterales; Asteraceae.
UUGCAUUAUAAUAUUCGGGUCUUCGAGAUUCUUCAAUUCAAUGUGACAUAAGAAGAGAUAGAGCAACUUCCAUACACCGAUUGCAUAAUAAUAGCCAGAGCUAAAUCGAUCUAGUUUGUGUUCGAUAAAAUGUCUCAACCAAUCAAGUUCACAGCACAAGCUUCCUUCUCCAGGUAUUCAACCUCUAAGCUGUAACUACUUGUUGACCAUAUAAAAAUAAUUUUAAAAUGAUGAGUUAGAUGGGUGUUUGUGCUAUCAUUGACUUGUUAUAAAUAACAUACGGGUUGGACAGUGUGGUGCUUUGAUAUCCGUUCUAUAAUCAAUAACAGACAAAUAAAUUCCUGGAAUUAUCUUCAAAGUCUAUUGUUGUAUGUGUCCUUAAAUAACAUGAUUGGUUCAGUUUUUUAUGGAGUAACUGAGAUACCCGAGUAUAUGUUUAUCCAUUGUCUGUUUGUUUCUGGAGUUGGGUUUCCAAAGUUAUAA